This 429-nucleotide ribosomal RNA is filed under the name Gemmatimonadota bacterium. RNAcentral describes it as "Gemmatimonadetes bacterium partial 16S ribosomal RNA". It matches the Rfam family "Bacterial small subunit ribosomal RNA", at positions 355 to 776 of the family's 1533-position model. Lineage: Bacteria; Pseudomonadati; Gemmatimonadota. The record is from RNAcentral.
UAGGGAAUCUUCGGCAAUGGACGAAAGUCUGACCGAGCAACGCCGCGUGAGUGAAGAAGGUUUUCGGAUCGUAAAACUCUGUUGUUAGAGAAGAACAAGGACGUUAGUAACUGAACGUCCCCUGACGGUAUCUAACCAGAAAGCCACGGCUAACUACGUGCCAGCAGCCGCGGUAAUACGUAGGUGGCAAGCGUUGUCCGGAUUUAUUGGGCGUAAAGCGAGCGCAGGCGGUUUCUUAAGUCUGAUGUGAAAGCCCCCGGCUCAACCGGGGAGGGUCAUUGGAAACUGGGAGACUUGAGUGCAGAAGAGGGGAGUGGAAUUCCUUGUGUAGCGGUGAAAUGCGUAGAUAUAUGGAGGAACACCAGUGGCGAAGGCGGCUCUCUGGUCUGUAACUGACGCUGAGGCUCGAAAGCGUGGGGAGCAAACAGG